Molecule: ribosomal RNA, 480 nt
Filed under: uncultured bacterium
Lineage: Bacteria
Description: partial 16S ribosomal RNA
Rfam family: Bacterial small subunit ribosomal RNA
Source: RNAcentral
GAUGAACGCUGGCGGCGUGCCUAACACAUGCAAGUCGAACGGAGAUUACGGACGGAAGUUUUCGGAUGGAAGCCUGUAAUUCUUAGUGGCGGACGGGUGAGUAACGCGUGGGCAACCUGCCCUAUACAGGGGGAUAGCAGCUGGAAACGGCUGGUAAGACCGCAUAAGUCGGUUAAAUCGCAUGAUUUGAUCGGGAAAUGAGCAAUCAGGUAUAGGAUGGGCCCGCGUCCGAUUAGCCAGUUGGCAGGGUAAAAGCCUACCAAAGCGACGAUCGGUAGCCGGACUGAGAGGUCGACGGCCACAUUGGGACUGAGACACGGCCCAAACUCCUACGGGAGGCAGCAGUGGGGGAUAUUGCACAAUGGAGGAAACUCUGAUGCAGCGACGCCGCGUGAGUGAAGAAGUAUUUCGGUAUGUAAAGCUCUAUCAGCAGGGAAGAUGAUGACGGUACCUGACUAAGAAGCCCCGGCUAACUACGUG